Molecule: long non-coding RNA, 535 nt
Organism: Corapipo altera (White-ruffed manakin)
Lineage: Eukaryota; Metazoa; Chordata; Aves; Passeriformes; Pipridae
Exons: 2
Source: RefSeq, a predicted model, not a curated record
AUUCCGGCUGUUACUGUAGCCACCACUUCUGCCAACCCAGAGGGAAAAGAUCCUACCAAGAGAGAAGGGCCCACCCUACCACAAGCUGCUUCAGGUGUUUUUCUUUCUCUGAGCACUUUUUGCCACGGCUGCAGACUGGUACCAUUACUUUUUGCAGUGCCUGUUGCCUUUGGCUCACCCCACAGACUGAGCGAGAGCCUGCAGUCUGCUACUGCUGACUGUUCUCUCACCACAUAUGGAAAGGCAGUCCCUAGAGAAGCUAUGAGCUGUCAUCAUCUUGUAAAAGCAUGGAAUUUAUGAACUGUAUUCAAAUAUUGGCAACACAUACUGGCCCAAAGUCAUGAAAUUUGGAGAGCACAAGCAAAUCAUAUUCAAAAGGAACAGACCCUAAUAUCAGAUACUGUAAAAGUUCAGAAUGAGACAAAUAAAUACAAAGGGACGUAAAAUAUCUCAGACACAUUAAAGAAGAAACAAUUGAUCAACCGGACAGGAAAACUGCAAAAUCAACACAAUAGAUGCAGUAACUUUAAAAUAA